UGCGGAAGUAGUUCAGUGGUAGAACAUCACCUUGCCAAGGUGGGGGUCGCGGGUUCGAACCCCGUCUUCCGCU
This 73-nucleotide transfer RNA is filed under the name Listeria monocytogenes. Its description in RNAcentral is "tRNA-Gly". It matches the Rfam family "tRNA". From Rfam's summary of the family: Transfer RNA (tRNA) molecules are approximately 80 nucleotides in length. Their secondary structure includes four short double-helical elements and three loops (D, anti-codon, and T loops). Lineage: Bacteria; Bacillati; Bacillota; Bacilli; Caryophanales; Listeriaceae. The record is from RNAcentral.